Molecule: microRNA precursor, 72 nt
Filed under: Nomascus leucogenys (northern white-cheeked gibbon)
Lineage: Eukaryota; Metazoa; Chordata; Mammalia; Primates; Hylobatidae
Description: miRNA (ENSNLEG00000035236.1)
Source: RNAcentral
GGUUGGUGCAAAAGUAACUGCAGUUUUUGCCAUUGCUUUCAAUGGCAAAACCCACAAUUACUUUUGCAUCAA